RNAcentral lists this ribosomal RNA (464 nucleotides) under Vreelandella stevensii. Its description in RNAcentral is "partial 16S ribosomal RNA". It matches the Rfam family "Bacterial small subunit ribosomal RNA", at positions 339 to 795 of the family's 1533-position model. Lineage: Bacteria; Pseudomonadati; Pseudomonadota; Gammaproteobacteria; Oceanospirillales; Halomonadaceae. The record is from RNAcentral.
CUACGGGUGGCAGCAGUGGGGAAUAUUGGACCAUGGGCGAAAGCCUGAUCCAGCCAUGCCGCGUGUGUGAAGAAGGCCUUCGGGUUGUAAAGCACUUUCAGUGGGGAAGAAAGCCUUGGGGCUAAUACCCUCGAGGAAGGACAUCACCCACAGAAGAAGCACCGGCUAACUCCGUGCCAGCAGCCGCGGUAAUACGGAGGGUGCGAGCGUUAAUCGGAAUUACUGGGCGUAAAGCGCGCGUAGGCGGUCUGAUAAGCCGGUUGUGAAAGCCCCGGGCUCAACCUGGGAACGGCAUCCGGAACUGUCAGGCUAGAGUGCAGGAGAGGAAGGUAGAAUUCCCGGUGUAGCGGUGAAAUGCGUAGAGAUCGGGAGGAAUACCAGUGGCGAAGGCGGUCUUCUGGACUGACACUGACGCUGAGGUGCGAAAGCGUGGGUAGCAAACAGGAUUAGAUACCCCAGUAGUC